ACCAAGGUCAGUAGAAGAUGGAGAAGAAAGCGGCUUUGUGUUACGUUGCAACAAUUUCCACGAAAUGGUCAAAACCCAGGACUGAAAUUGGCAUCGAUGUGUUAUGGAGUGCAUUUGCCAGUAAACAGGUGGCGAGAGGUUUGCUCCAGCUGUGAACGCGUCUUCCGUUUUCAACAAUGUGAGACAUUUUGGCAGUGACUCAACCGUGCACGAGGAAUACGUUCUCCAUCAAUGACGUCAGACUCGUGUUCCACAGCGGCUGCAUCCAUGUCAAGAUUACAUGUCGCAUGUCAAAGUUUGUCUGCUAGUAAAUUUGCAGGGUUGAAACUUAAUAUGAAGUGUAAUGUUUACUUUGGGUUGUGAUUCGGCUGUAGUUAUUGUCAAACUAUUACAAAGUAGUGUUCAGGAAGAGUACUUUGCUACACGUACAUGUAGUAGUGGUUUAUUUCCGUGUAGGUGUGGUAACAUAAACAACAAUGCACAUGUAGGAUGACCGGUUUUCUUUUUGAUAGUAACAUUUUUGUGAGGACAAAUCUGCAAUUUGGCGCUUCUCCGUGAACAAUUAUUUAUUUAAAAUUGAAUUCUAGUAUUAAUUUUGGUGAUGUUUAGUUUUGGAAAGAAAGAAAACAUUCCAACCGUGUAAAAUGCAUUUUUGGAAGUCUUUGGAAGUUAUUGUUAUAUUGUUAUAUUGUCAAGUUAUAUUGUCAAGUACGCGCCAUAUUUGAUCCACGGACUAGAUAGACGGUGGUUCAACUGGUUGUGAACUCGGUCUAAUGCUUUAGAAAGCGUCUGGAAGUUGCAGUGUGCGUUCAGUUGUUCUUCGGAAGAAAAAAAAAGAGCGAGAUGUGCAUCCACCAAAAAGUUGAUAAAUCGCUGUUAUUAAGAUAAUUAUGCUUCAGAAAUUUCAGCAUAAUAUCAAACUGGCAGAAUGCGUCAUUAGUAUUGCAGAACUGUCCACACGUAUUGAAACGAUCUUUCUUAAGUUUGAAUUUGUUACAGAAAAUGUUUUAUUUCGGAACAUUCUCUUCAUUAAGGGGUCUAUGUAGGACUGGCAUUCGUCAGAAACUUUUACAUUCUGAAUUUUCGACAAAUUCUUGACAAAGUCAAAUCAAUCA
Lingula anatina is the source of this 1115-nucleotide long non-coding RNA. Lineage: Eukaryota; Metazoa; Brachiopoda; Lingulata; Lingulida; Lingulidae. The record is from RefSeq and is a predicted model, not a curated record.